UACGUAGGGCGCAAGCGUUGUCCGGAAUUAUUGGGCGUAAAGAGCUCGUAGGCGGUUUGUCACGUCGGAUGUGAAAGCCCGGGGCUUAACCCCGGGUCUGCAUUCGAUACGGGCAGACUAGAGUGUGGUAGGGGAGAUCGGAAUUCCUGGUGUAGCGGUGAAAUGCGCAGAUAUCGGGAAGAACACCCGUGGCGAAGGCGGUUCUCUGGGACGGUACUGACGCUGAGACGCGAAAGCGUGGGGAGCGAACAGG
Molecule: ribosomal RNA, 253 nt
Filed under: uncultured bacterium
Lineage: Bacteria
Description: partial 16S ribosomal RNA
Rfam family: Bacterial small subunit ribosomal RNA
Source: RNAcentral